RNAcentral lists this small nucleolar RNA (106 nucleotides) under Pongo abelii (Sumatran orangutan). RNAcentral describes it as "Small nucleolar RNA U13 (ENSPPYG00000036556.1)". It matches the Rfam family "Small nucleolar RNA U13". The record is from Rfam by way of RNAcentral. Lineage: Eukaryota; Metazoa; Chordata; Mammalia; Primates; Hominidae.
AUCUUUUUGUAGUUCAUGAGAUGAUGAUUGGGUGUUCAUGCACAUGUGUGAGAUUGGCUACUCUCGAACCUUGCUACGAUGUCGGCACAACUUACCAAGUCUGACC